CGUCCCUCAAGUUAAAAGGGGAAGUGAAAGAGGGGAGAGUGACUGCGUCCUGCUGUGCUCUGUGGAAAACUGGAACAACACAUCUCUGUCCUGGCAAAGAAACGGGACUGCACUGACCCAACCAACCUCACGACACUCAACCCAACUGGACCUUUCCCACCACCAAAUACGGGGGGUAAAUGCUACCUUCAGGUACACCUGUGUGGCCAGCAACCCUGUCAGCAAUCAGACCAUCACUGUCACACCUUCGGAUUACUGUCCUCUCAAAGAAAGAGGAGGCCACACUGAGCUCAUCCUGAGGGUGCUGGUGUUCAUAGUGCUGACUGGAGUUGUCAUCGCAGUCUGUGUGUGGGUCUGGAAGAAGGGGAACGCUCAGGAUGAAUGCAGGAAUUAAAGAACAGAGGAAACGCUUUGAAAAUACACCCCAUGGGGUCCUUGAGUGGAUCACCUGGUAAAAACACUGCUGCGUGGUGUGCGGGGUGAGCCAAACAGUCUGGAGCUUGCUGGUUUGAAUCCAGCCUGUGCGAGGCAGCUGGGGAUUCCAAAGAGGCACCGCAUUGGCUCUGGCUUCUCCGGGUUAGGGAGGUGGGGUUCCGGCAGACACGGUUUCUCCACAUCGCUCUUCAGCGACCCCUACAGGCCGAGUGAGCUUGGGGGUGGAGAUUUCCUUUGCUGGCCCCUGUCCUCCAGGGACAAGCCUGCUGACAUCCGCUCUCAAGUUCCUCGGUGUUGAAUGCAGAUUACAGCUAGCGUCACUGUUUUACCUGUGAAACUUUAGAGUGGUUCAGCCUGGAGAAUUGAAGGCUGUGUCAUUUUCUGUGUUUAGUCCAUAGGGUGUACACCAGAAAUGCUCCAAGUUACCUUGCACCUCUGGUACGAGACUUUCAACUCUACCUGUGCACUAAGAUCAAAUGAUGUGCCUGCUUUUAAAAUCCCUAAACUGAGAUCUAAUCUGGGCCAGCGUGCCUUUGUAUAUCAAGCAUCUCAUCUCUGAAAUUUUUUGCCUUAGAACAGAAAAACAGCCUCUUCACAAUACCUUUAAAAUCACUCAAAUAUUUAUUAUAAAUCUGACCAGGGUUUAUAAUUGCACCAUUGAUCUUCCUGACCAGGGUCGCAAAUCCUGUAAAUAUCGAUUAUGACCAGGAUCAUGGAAACUGGAAUUGUUUUGACUUUUUUAUGCUUUAAUUUGUAUUCAUGUAUCUUGUGUUUCUUCCCAUAGGAUUGAUGAAACUGGUCUUUAGUCCGGCCAGCAGACAGACCCCAAUCUCCCAACUGAGUAUGAGCAAGACCAGCCCUAAGCAAAUGUAAAGAGCCACUCGGUACUUAGUUAUCUUAACUGGGGUGCUAUUCGUGGUGUUGAGAUUCAGCCUGUAUGUCGUUUUCUGUUGAGUCACAUUCUGGUUAAAUGUCUUUACUUCCUGUUUUAGAUAACGGUGAUGUUAUUUAUAACAUGGCCUCCAAAAGCCUACUGAUGAAACUGCAGUAUAUUAGGGAAUUACACUGUACUAAGCAGUUUGCUUGUGGAAUCGGAUUGGUAUUAUUAACCUUAAACACACUUUGUGGGGUACAAACUGUUCUUCUUUCGAGUGAAAGAUGAUGAUCUGUUGUACAAUUAAAAGGUCAAAAAAAACCAAAAAAACUGCUGAAUGACUUUACUGAAACUACUGAAACACACUGCUGUGCAUUUUUUAUAGGAAUUGAAUGUUUUCUGUAACUUUUUUCAUUAGAGAAUUACACCAAGCAGUUGACUUGUGGAAUCAGGGUUCAGUAUUCUUAACAUAUGUCUUAGAAGUGUCUUUGAAGGGCAGCAGUGUGGAGUAGUGGUUAGGGCUCUAGACUCUUGAUCAGAGGGUCGUGGGUUCAAUCCCCACUGGGGACACUGCUGCUGUACCCUUGAACAAGGUUCUUUAUUUAGAUUGCUCCAGUUAAAAACCCAACUGUAUAAAUGGGUAAUUGUAUGUAAAAAUAAUGUGAUAUCUUGUAACAAUUGUAAGUCACCCUGGAUAAGGGCGUCUGCUAAGAAAUAGAUAUUAAUUAAUUAAUAAUGCUCUUUCCUAUCAGCUGCUUUCUUGCACUAAUACUGCAUAUUUAUUUUAUAAUUAACUGUCAAGCUGGGUGAUUGCAGUGGGUAUAAUAUACAUUGAGGCUGAAAUUUGAAAUGCAAUGUGAUGCAGCCUAAAGCGAUGCUAGCCAUAAGAUUUUCUUACUUGUUAAAAAGUGAUCAAGUUGUUUAAUUUCCAGUCUUGUAAAAUUGUAAUUUACAAUGACGUACAUUUAAAAUUUGAAUGUAAAAAUGUUAUAUCGAUUUAAAAAUUGUAUCCUUUCGGAGAAAUUGGGAGGAAAUAAAACUCGGAGGAAAUGUUUUCGAGAAUAUUCCUUUGUACCUCCUGCCUUGCUACUUGUUAAAAUUACAACAUUCAGUGCUAACCAAGGCUUUAAGAUCCAUUUUCUACCUCAAGACACGGACGCAGGUGGAAAGCUGCUGCUGUUUCCUGGUACGAAACCAUUUCCUUGUCGCGCUCCAGUAUAGAAUAAUAACCUGUGGCGACAGGAAGUAGCAAAACUAAACAGCUUAACGCAUUAAUAAGAUGGGAUGUGAGGCCAGAAGGGGUGUAACAAUUCAUUGUGUAUCUGUUGUUUGUAUUGUGACUCAAAACCCCAAAGCACAUCACAGAGCUGUCUGUUUCACCAAGUGGCUCUGAUAGCUGCUACAAAUACAUCCUCUCCCUGUUGCAUUAAAUGUUUGACUUUUAACUAAACUGGCUCACUAUUGGGCCUAAAUGGCCAUUUGAUCUCAGCAUGCAUUAUCCAAGUAUCCCAUCAGGACCAUCUCAAGCACUGCGAUGCGUAUCCUAACACUAGCGUAUCAUUACACUCCUAGGCCAGUGAAUGUAACUCUUGCCAUCUCUGACCAAUUUAUAAGCUGUAUUUUGUUUGUAAUGGUUGUCUGUAUG
Molecule: long non-coding RNA, 2954 nt
Organism: Acipenser ruthenus (sterlet)
Lineage: Eukaryota; Metazoa; Chordata; Actinopteri; Acipenseriformes; Acipenseridae
Exons: 3
Source: RefSeq, a predicted model, not a curated record